AAAAGGUAAUAGGCCUAUUUAAUAAGUGUAGGAGGGGCGGUUUAUUUUGGUACAAAAGUUAGACUAAAUUAAUUAAUUUUUGUGUGACUACAGUAGGAUUAGUUGGCAUUAUAAGAAGUGCGGGAUUGUUCAAGUAGGUCAGUCAUGAGUUUUAUUUUUUAAAGGGGUGUUUGUGUAUAUUUAAAGUAUUGGUUAAAUUUGUGCCAGCAGCUGCGGUUAGACUUAUGAUGCAAGUAGUUAUGUUACAGGUUUUAGGGUAGAGGAGUGUCAGGCAGAGGUGAAAUUGAGUCUUGCGGGCUGGUAAAGGCUAAUAUCUUUUAGUGUGACUAGGAUUAGAGACCCUGUUAAUAGAAAGUAUACACCUAGGGUUAGUUAUUUAGAUGAUUUGGCGGCUUGUUUAAGUUAGAGGGACUUGCUUGUAAUGGAUAAACCGCAUUUUAUUUCACUUUAAUUUGUUAUGUAUACCGUCAUCUAAAUAUUCUUUAUUGGGGUUUUAAUUAUUGAGGAAUAGUGUGAGAAGUUAGAUCAAGGUGCAGAGAUUUAAAAGGCAGGGUUAGUCACAGUAGGGAGGCAUUAAACGUGUUUCUUGUAAAUAAAGGGUUAAAGGUGGAUUUGAUUGUAAUUACUUGAAGUUGAAUUGACACGGCGAGUGUACAAAUUGCCCGUCAGUCUCUUUGAGAUAAGUCGAAACAAAGUAAAACUACCUGAAGGUGGUUUU
RNAcentral lists this ribosomal RNA (718 nucleotides) under Eurythenes magellanicus. RNAcentral's name for it is "12S ribosomal RNA". The record is from RNAcentral. Lineage: Eukaryota; Metazoa; Arthropoda; Malacostraca; Amphipoda; Lysianassidae.